This 1342-nucleotide ribosomal RNA is filed under the name metagenome. RNAcentral describes it as "bacterial LSU rRNA". It matches the Rfam family "Bacterial large subunit ribosomal RNA", at positions 1564 to 2912 of the family's 2925-position model. The record is from RNAcentral.
UGAGUACGAGCUGCUACGGCAGCGAAGUGGGUGAUGUCAAGCUUCCAAGAAAAGCCCUAUACCCGUUAAGGCAUGACGGCCUGUACCCGAAACCGACACAGGUGGGGUGGUAGAGAAUACCGAGGGGCGCGAGAUAACUCUCUCUAAGGAACUCGGCAAAAUGGCCCCGUAACUUCGGGAGAAGGGGUGCCACCGCAAGGCGGUCGCAGUGAAGAGGCCCAGGCGACUGUUUACCAAAAACACAGGUCUCCGCUAAGUCGCAAGACGAUGUAUGGGGGCUGACGCCUGCCCAGUGCCGGAAGGUUAAGGAAGCUGGUCAGCGCAAGCGAAGCUAGCGACUGAAGCCCCGGUGAACGGCGGCCGUAACUAUAACGGUCCUAAGGUAGCGAAGUUCCUUGUCGGGUAAGUUCCGACCCGCACGAAAGGCGUAACGAUCUGGGCGCUGUCUCGGAGAGAGGCUCGGCGAAAUAGAAUUGUCUGUGAAGAUGCGGACUACGUGCACCCGGACAGAAAGACCCUAUGAAGCUUUACUGUAGCUUGGUAUUGUGCCCGGGCUCUGAAUGCGCAGGAUAGGUGGGAGGCUUUGAUCCAUUGCUUGUGGGUAAUGGUGAGCCACUGGUGAGAUACCACUCUUUCAGAGCUAGGGUUCUAACGGUCACCCGUUAUCCGGGGACCGGACAGUAUCAGGUGGGCAGUUUGACUGGGCGGUCGCCUCCUAAAAGGUAACGGAGGCGCGCAAAGGUUCCCUCAGGCUGGUUGGAAAUCAGCCGACGAGUGUAAAGGCAGAAGGGAGCUUGACUGUGAGACCUACAAGUCGAACAGGGACGAAAGUCGGCCUUAGUGAUCCGACGGUUCUGAGUGGAAGGGCCGUCGCUCAACGGAUAAAAGUUACUCUAGGAUAACAGGCUGAUCUCCCCCAAGAGUUCACAUCGACGGGGAGGUUUGGCACCUCGAUGUCGGCUCAUCGCAACCUGGGGCUGAAGUCGGUCCCAAGGGUUGGGCUGUUCGCCCAUUAAAGCGGUACGCGAGCUGGGUUCAGAACGUCGUGAGACAGUUCGGUCCAUAUCCGGUGCACGCGCAGGAACAUUGAGAGGAUUUCUCCCUAGUACGAGAGGACCGGGAGGAACGCACCUCUGGUGUACCAGUUAUCGUGCCAACGGUAAACGCUGGGUAGCCAUGUGCGGAGCGGAUAACCGCUGAAAGCAUCUAAGUGGGAAGCCCACCUCAAGAUGAGUGUUCCCAUGGCAUAAGCCAGUAAGGUCACGGGAAGAACACCCGUUGAUAGGCUCUACGUGGAAGCGUGGCAACACGUGAAGCGGAGGAGUACUAAUAGACCGAGGGC